UGCUCCCUUUUCUUAUAUGCCUUUCUCUAUUCUCUGUACCCUAAUUUUCCCAUCUCCAUCCUCCCUCAUUUCUUGCAAACACAUCGCCAUCGCAUCAGACCUCAUCCCGCUAUAACUGAAACGCAAUGUGAAUGCCGCACUUGGAGCUCACAGUGGCACCACGCCUGAACCUCAUCAUGCGCCAAUACACCUAUACCUAAUGGCCGUGGGCUACCAGACUCUCAUCUCGGUAGUUUGGCUCUAAUUUUGGGAAAGGUAUUGGGCCACAAAACCCACAUCUUCAAGUCUUGAGUGUUCCAUAGAAAAUCAAGAGUAUCAGAAACAAUUUUUCAAUUUGCUUGCUUCGAUUAAGGAGAUGAAUCGACCAUGAGUGCCUUGGUUGGAACUAAGAUUGAAGUUAUGGUGGCUAUCCCUAAUAUCCAGCUUGUUGAGAGGAAUGACUAUGGCAAGUGGGUUAAGAAAAAAAAUCUCGCAUUACAACUUCAAUGGGAGUGCUAAUGUCAAAGUUGGCUUCCCUGCCCAUUAAAUGUUGAGAUAACAACAUUUGAUGUGGUUGGCCUAGUUUGCAGAUUUCUUAGGAAUAGAAAGGAUAAGACAUGUGAAGACACUCAAUCUCAAAUUAUUGAUCUAAAGAGUAAAGGGUUGUAUGUGGAAUAGUAUAAUCCAUGAGCCAUGUGUAGGGGUAUGGCAAUCAAAUUGGAAAUUUUCGGUGACAUGCUGCAGUCUCGACCAGUGGGAAUCGUGUGCUAUUUUCAGAUGGUGCAAUCAGAAGUAAAAUAUUUUAGGAUUAGGAUAAAAAAUUUAGUUGUAAAAUUACUAGAUGAAUUUGUAAUGUUUUUUAUUUUAUAUUUGAACAUGGU
Vigna unguiculata (cowpea) is the source of this 860-nucleotide long non-coding RNA. Lineage: Eukaryota; Viridiplantae; Streptophyta; Magnoliopsida; Fabales; Fabaceae. The record is from RefSeq and is a predicted model, not a curated record.